CACAGGUGGAAUUUUGGAAAGGUGAGGCGGUGGACAUUCAAUUCUGUAAGCGGAACAGAGCAAGAAUGGUUACAACUCUAGCAUCGACAGCUUGUUCUUAAGGAAGAGGAGCAGAAAAGAUGCAGGACAGGCUGCCAGUGCUGCAGUGAUCUGACAGUGUACAGCAGGACUGUGACCUCCUGACCCUCUCUGAGAGACAUCAGGACUGCACAGAUGGGAGGCACACCUUAGACCCUGUAUGAUUCACUUUCGUUCUGAUUACUGCUUUAAUAUGGUGCAACAGCUCUUUUCCUGACCAGGUUCCUGUUUAGAGGCCUUCCUGUAAAUGUCAUGUGUUUCCAUGAAUAAAUCAGACUUUAUGACUACACAAUUGCAGCAUUUCUAUGUGCUAGCACUUGCUUUGUGUAACUUAAUUGUACAGUCAAUACGUUUGCUUUCAGUUUUAAAUUACCAGAACAAUAUAAUAUAAUAUAUAUAUGUGUGUGUGUGUGUGUGUGUGUGUGUGUGUAAGAGAAAGAACAGUAUCUAUGAGAACAGUACUUUUUUGGUUUUAGUGGCUUGAUGGGAAAUGUAUAGAAACUAGUGCUAUUAAAUGAUUAAUCGUGAUUAAUUGCAUUCAAAAUAAAAGUUUUUGCUUACAUAA
Cyprinus carpio (common carp) is the source of this 643-nucleotide long non-coding RNA. RefSeq lists it as uncharacterized. NCBI's taxonomy places the organism in Eukaryota, Metazoa, Chordata, Actinopteri, Cypriniformes, Cyprinidae. The record is from RefSeq and is a predicted model, not a curated record.